UCCACGGAGCAUCCUUAUCGGUCUUG
Molecule: microRNA, 26 nt
Filed under: Tribolium castaneum (red flour beetle)
Lineage: Eukaryota; Metazoa; Arthropoda; Insecta; Coleoptera; Tenebrionidae
Description: tca-miR-11648-3p
Source: miRBase by way of RNAcentral